Molecule: small nucleolar RNA, 123 nt
Filed under: Echinops telfairi (small Madagascar hedgehog)
Lineage: Eukaryota; Metazoa; Chordata; Mammalia; Afrosoricida; Tenrecidae
Description: Small nucleolar RNA SNORA61 (ENSETEG00000026858.1)
Source: RNAcentral
UCCCUCCAGAUUUCCUUACCCUUCAAACCUAAGUAAUGGUUUGAAUGGCUUUAAAGAGGAGGAAAGGGAACAAUGAAAUGGACUUGGAGUCCUUAGUGAUAAGCAAAUUUAUCUCAAAUAAAC